ACAAAUGAAAAAAAUAUAAAUACAUUCGCCCGGAAAAAAAGAAAAGAAGAAGCCUGCAGUCAGCACCAUCUCCAGAGGAAAGAACAGCUGCCACAGAAGAAGACGUGAAGACGACGUGGGACGGUGGGAGAUGAUCAGAGUAGAUAUGGUUUCAUCAGAUAUUCACCCCUCUUGAUUUACCAUUCAUAUAAAAGGAGAAAAGAAACGCGGAGAGAGGAGUAGAGCAAAAUCAAACUGAUAAAGAGAAAAAAAUUUAGCAUCAAAAUCGGUGAUUGCAGAUUCACCUAAGUUUUUCAGGUAUCUUCAUCUUUUCUACACAGAGUGAAAGCAGCAGGAGCAUGAGGAGAAUCGCAAUGGCUCGGUCCUAGGGUCGCACGUCAGAUUUCCAUCGCUCUUAAACUGAGCGCCGCCACCAAUAAAGCGCCUUUUGAUUUCAGCUAUAAUUUCUGUUCAAGGAGCUCCAGAGAAAUUUAGUAUGGCACUCAUUUGAUCAUUGCUCGGAACAUUUCCACAUGGCAAUUUUACCAGAAUUGAAAUCUAUUGUCUUGCAACUUGCAAGUUAUGCUAAUCAAUUUCCAGGUAACAUAAUAGUUGCUAGGGGGAGAGGAGAGGGAGAGAUUUAACUGGUUAUAUGCUUCUGUGUUAGUGGCAGAUCAAUCAUGGAGUUUGGGUGAUGAACUAUAAUAACUAUAACUAUCAGGUUCCCCGGCAUGUAAGGGUUUUGGGAUCUGGUGAACCUUAAGCACAAAUAUCCUCUUGUUCAUUCACAUGGACCUCUUGUUCUUUUGCAAUUUGGAUAUUAGUUCUAUGCUUUAACUAUGUACCUAGUGAAGCUUCUUUAAUUAGUAGCAAAACUACAUUUUCUAUUAUAUGACAGCUAAGUACUUUAUAUAUUA
Long non-coding RNA from Rosa chinensis, 896 nucleotides. RefSeq lists it as uncharacterized. The record is from RefSeq and is a predicted model, not a curated record. NCBI's taxonomy places the organism in Eukaryota, Viridiplantae, Streptophyta, Magnoliopsida, Rosales, Rosaceae. The transcript has 6 exons.